UGAACUGCAGGACACAUGAACAUCGACAUUUCGAACGCACAUUGCGGUCCACGGAUACAAUUCCCGGACCACGCCUGGCUGAGGGUCG
This 88-nucleotide ribosomal RNA is filed under the name Ophion sp. MS3719. Its description in RNAcentral is "partial 5.8S ribosomal RNA". It matches the Rfam family "5.8S ribosomal RNA", at positions 68 to 154 of the family's 154-position model. Rfam says of the family: 5.8S ribosomal RNA (5.8S rRNA) is a component of the large subunit of the eukaryotic ribosome. It is transcribed by RNA polymerase I as part of the 45S precursor that also contains 18S and 28S rRNA. Lineage: Eukaryota; Metazoa; Arthropoda; Insecta; Hymenoptera; Ichneumonidae. The record is from RNAcentral.